RNAcentral lists this ribosomal RNA (253 nucleotides) under uncultured bacterium. RNAcentral's name for it is "partial 16S ribosomal RNA". It matches the Rfam family "Bacterial small subunit ribosomal RNA", at positions 524 to 776 of the family's 1533-position model. The record is from RNAcentral.
UACGGAGGAGGCAAGCGUUAUCCGGAAUUAUUGGGCGUAAAGCGUCCGUAGGUGGUUUAGUAAGUCUGCUGUUAAAGCGCGGGGCUUAACUCCGUAUCGGCAGUGGAAACUACUAGACUAGAGUGUGGUAGGGGUAGAGGGAAUUCCCAGUGUAGCGGUGAAAUGCGUAGAUAUUGGGAAGAACACCGGUGGCGAAGGCGGCUUCCUGGACCGAUACUGACACUGAGGAGCGAAAGCGUGGGGAGCGAACAGG